ACAAGAAGUAAAACCCAUGGACUUUUUCAGGAUCGGGGUCUGCAGUGUGUCACUGAAGGCAGCUAGAAGAGGGAUACAGCUGACUGUAUAGAAAUGUGUCAGCUGGAAGUUAGAAGAUAAGCAUUAAUUGCUUGUUGAAUGUAACCACAGUCUUCACCUUUUUCCUUCUUGUCCACAACUUUAAAAAAUACGUGGAUGGGAAUUCAAAUUAUUAGAUUAUUAGCAUGUUCAUAUCAAGACUUUGGAUUAUUUGGGAAAACUCAUAUGUCUCAAUGCCAUGACCAUUGCCUUAAUGUACUCAAGGAUUUAAGAUUGCAUAAUAACUGAUUAUGGAAAAAGAAAGAGGCCUCAAGCUGGGAACUUCUUAAAGAACAUCUUAUUCUUAGAAGUAACCUACAGUAGUUAUUUGCUUAUCUUCAGAGAUGGUUAUCUAACUGGAAUCUGUUUUGUUCCCUUGUACAUGAGCCUGCUUCCCCACCUCUUUUAUUGGUGAACUAUGGAAUGUUACUGGACAUUAAACCACAUGAAACACAUGGUCACUGUAAAUUAUUUAUGAGAAUGCCUGCCUUAAGAAUCUCAUAAGAAAUCUCAUUUAUCUUCUUUUUACCUGAAGCAUGAUAUCCUUAUGGAAGGAAUGAGUUAAGUACAGCUACCAUCUUUUUCUUCAAUCAAAAAUACUGUGAUGUUGAAGCAUACUCAAAGGCAUCAGCCCAUCAGUCUGUUUUGUUUUCAGAAGAGAUUACCAAUAGAGAGAGAAAGAAUGAAUUUCUUACCAAUGAGAAAGAAAAUCCCUUGGAAGUCAGGUCUCGGUUUGGCAUCUGCACAGUUUUGUUACUGAAGACUCUGAUCUUCAAACUGCAGUCAUACCUGUUGCUCUCUGUGCACAGAACAUCUGUCUUAGUCUUGGCAUGAGUCUCCAUGACCAGUGGUAUCUCCAAAGCUGAUAGCUUUAAGACUGCAGAGGCUUGUGAGGAUGUGACAGCUGGAAACUUGAAACUUGUCCAAACUUGACAUUGUCUAAUCUGUUGUUUUUAAUGUUAACUAUUUCUUACUUGGAACUAUUAAAGUUGCCAAGGAACAGCUUAUGUUUCUGGCUUCCUUGCCAGAAGACUCACUCUUCUUUCCCCCAUCACAUCACAAACUAAUGCCUGGUCAUGAGGGGAGGGACUGAGAGGCUCCAUAGAAAAAUGGCGGCCGAAACUGGAUUGCCAUCAAUUCAGAGAGAGCAGAGAGAGCAAUCUGUUUUGAUCAGCCUCUCUCAUGAGAAAACAUGAAGGGGACAGGAGUUUUAAGUGCAUAGUACUGCUGGCAUGUACAUGUACAAAGACCUGGUUUCUGGAGCACAUCGCAACUCUUACUUGCAGAUUUACUUGCUGAACAUCUCUUCAUGCCCCCUUGCUUGGCGUAGCAUAAUGUGGUACUACCUUACCACUAAAAUGAUCCCCAGAGUCUGCACAAAGUACUGUCCUGAAACAAAUGAGGAAAGAGAAACAUUUGUCUUAGAACAGAGUGAUUUAAAAAUCUUCUUUCAAAAUAUGAUGUUAAUAAUGUCUGUUACAGCUGCAUGCACUAUAAUAUCUUAAAAUUUGAAGCAGUUACCUGUUGCCAAAGUCUCAAAGAGAAUGCAUUGAACUGAUGAAUGGAGUAGCACAAACCCCUCCCUCUUUACAGAGUUAAGAGUGGGAAGCAAGUUCUUGAAGUGCUAAACUACAGUCUGUAGCAGUAGCUGUUUCUCGCACUUUAAUUUCAAUUUAAUCAGCUCAAUUCAAACAACUAGGUCAAAUUUGGAAAUGGGUUAGGAAUUGAAAAAGUUUUGGGUUUUUUUUUCUUUCCAUACACAGGAUAGACCUAUGAAGGUAAAAUCCACUGUUAUCUAAAAGGUGAAGGCACUGGCAACCAGAAACAAUCAGUUGUCCUCUUUGUUAACAAAAUGUAUUUCAUGGAUUUUUCCAAUACAUUUAAAACAUAUCUAAUCUAAGAAUUAUUUCAAAUGACAUUUUCUGUAUUACUGCACUUUGCAUCCAAACAGAGCUCUUGGCAAACUAAUUAAGUGCUACAUAAUAAAAAAAUGUAUGCAGACAUUUUCAGAUAAAAUGUAACCAUUUAGCAUCUAAUAAGCUAUAGAAUCUUAACUAUGAAAAAUGUAUUCCCUAGUUCUAAAAGGUUGCCAAUCUUUGUGAAGUGACUAUAUUUAAUUGCAAACAAGCAUUUAAAUAAUUGCUAAUGAAGUAACAAUAAUCUUUUAGAAGAGAUAAAUAUAGAUGCAAAAUCAGGCUUAAAACAUAGGUUUUUGUUUAUUUAAGUCAUUUUUAAAAAGAAGUUACUUUUGACAGAAAUCAUUCCUCCUGUAAUCAAACUUAGGAGAGGCAGUAAGUAGUAUGUGCUUUGAGAUGCACAAGUUGGAUUUCUUUUCUGAGAUUUAGGUAACUAAAAUAUUGAGGUCUAUCACAAGAUUAAAUAACCUGGCUUUCAUUUGCAAUCAGGGAAGACAAAAUAGGCAGGCCUGGCAGGAGAACCAUUCUAUCCUAAAAGAGGUCACGUAAGUUGCUAUAUGGUAGUGACAGCGCUUGCUAACAGAGCAUAGGAAAACUUUAGGCUUAGACAUCUGGUGUUUCAUGGGGUUUUUUUUAAGUUUACUUUAAACAUCUCAAAAUGGAGAUGAGAGAGCUACAGUAAAUGCAGCUGACCUUGCUAUUGCCAUGUGUUGAUGGUGCUGCAGUUUUUCUGAGUUCCCCUAACAGCAUCUUCUUUGUGGUUUUUGUUUGUUUGUUUGUUUGCGUUUUGGACCUUUAUAUGUCCUUUGCAAGGGGCCUACUCUAAGGCUUGCCUGUUCCCCCCUCCUCCCCCCUCCCUCGGAGAUCAUGUUUAAAUAUUUGUUUGUUGUACCCUGUGUCUGCAAGGGAUAACAUGCUGUGACUUCCUUGUUGUCAUGGCAUUAGUCUAAAUAAUUAGACAAAGAGUUAAGAGAUCUACAGUUACAGUUACAGAAAACUGAGCUCUUUUUGAACUUUAAAUUCUCCUUGCUACUGAUGUCUUGGUUUUCCAUUGCUUCCCCAAUCUGGACAAGUAUGUGACAUUAUUGUCUUCAUGAACUCAGUAAACUGAACUAAACAUUUCCAGUCCUGCUACACUUUUGUACACUCAUCAGAGAAUUUUUCCAUUUUUUUUAUAUUACAUUUAACUGCUGCUUUUCCCCCAAAUGUUUCAGCAAGGGUACAGUUACUUCUGAUACCUACAACUUGGUGCCUGAAUGCUUAUUUUUGUCAUUUGAAUUUCUCAUCUCUGAGGAAAAUGAGAAAAUACUAUCUAGUAAGACUGAGUUCUUUCAAAGCCCCUACACAUUCACACUCUCAGUAAAAAGACUUGAAUUACUGAAAGUAAUUAAAGGCUCCCAUCCUCAAAAUCUUUCAAGCUUUGCAUUACAGGAUGUGGGACAGACAGAGGGAAUCAGAAAGGUGGGUGGCUCCAACAAACAUUUAAGGUCUUGGAAGCAUGCAGAUUGAUACCUGUAUCCAUCUGCAGCCUUGCAUAUUUCCUAACCUUUUAGGUCCUUUUUCAUUGCUUUCCAGGAUCUGCUUUAAUGACUCUUGGAGUUCUUGUUUUUAGAUAAAUGAAAAUCCAGAAAGAAAAUAUCAGUGUAGGUGUUCUGAUUUGCCAUAUAAUAAACUCUGAUAUACUCUUAAGUAUCUGCCAGUACUUUGUACUGAUAUCUGAUUAUAAUUUCUGCCUGUACAUGAUAAAUGACAAAUACUUCAAUUAAUAAACUUAACCUCCAAGAGGAAACAGUGUUCUACUAUUGUUUAUCUCCCCUUCAUAUAAAUAAUUAGAUCGAUCCAAAUGAUGUGGUUUAAAUUUACAUUUUACUUUCACCCAGAAGUGCUGAUUUUCCUCAUAUAGAAAUUGCUAACUUCUUGUCUAAGAAACUUUCUAAAUGUUCUCAUGAUGUUAAGAUGGGUUUCAGUCUGUUAAUUAAUGAGUGUAAAAGAGACCUUAAUUCAGGAAAACAAGUCAUUGAAGUGUGAAAUACUGAUAGUCUUGAGUAAAAGUUGCUUUACAUUAUAGUUGAAGCAGCUUGAGAACAGAAGGGAGCACAUAAAAAAAAAGGUAAAAAUUAACCCAGAAUUAAGUAAAAAAUUUAAUAUUCCACGUAUGGAAGAUUUUUUCCCGCUACCAAUAUAUUUUGUAAUGUAGUUAAAAUAAAUCUGAAUAUUUUAUAGG
Molecule: long non-coding RNA, 4218 nt
Organism: Neopelma chrysocephalum (saffron-crested tyrant-manakin)
Lineage: Eukaryota; Metazoa; Chordata; Aves; Passeriformes; Pipridae
Exons: 2
Source: RefSeq, a predicted model, not a curated record